GUACAAAAACCUCCAUUAGUCAGACUGCACAGUGACUGUACUGCUACAGCUGGGACCUACUGCAGGUGCUGAGGGGAGGAGAUGAUCCAGUACAAUGACACAGUGUGUAGAAGAGCUGAACAACAAUAUCUAUUUCUGAUCUAUUAGAUCUGUUAGAUUUUCAAAUCUGUUAGAUUAUAUUCAGUCCUUCAUUGGUUCCUUAUUUAAUUUGAACAAAUUUUUCUUGAGUAUCUCAUGGAGAACCAUGAACCCAUCUAUCGUCAAACGUUCAAAUCUGGUAUAUUCCAAAACAGACUUAUCGAAAUUCCUUUUACAUUCAACAUCUCUCUAAAAAGCUUAAACUUAAGCUGACCUUUUCCUUAAGGAACAAGUCUUCUUUUUCUUUCAAUCUACAAAAGUCCUGGUUGCAGAAACUAUCUAGCCUGUGUUGGACUAUAUUAAUAUAUUAAUACUAGACACUCUACCAUGAUGCUGUUAGAUUAGUAACCAACACAAUACCUCUAACACAUCACUGUAUCUUGUCUCAGUUCCAAACAAAAUAACUGAGUUUGGUAAGAGUUCCUGUAGCGUUGCUGCCCCAUCUUGUAAUUUGAUAAUUUAAUUCUGAUUGAAGAUUUUAAAUGCAAGUUGGAGGACUAAUGCUGAUCACUGUCUGCACAUGUUUUAAACCUGCUCUUUGAAACUAUUUUAUGCACUUCGCUCUGUUUUUAACUUCCAUUCAUUGUUAUGUUUUAUACUGAGCAAAAAUGUAAAUGCAGAAAAUCAGUCAGUUUCUGGUGUGACCACCAUUUGCCUCAUGCGAUACAUCUCCUUCGCAUAGAGUUGAUCAGGCUGUUGAUUGUGGCCUGUGGAAUGUUUCCCCACUCUUCAAUGACUGUGCAAAGUUGCUGGAUAUUGGCGGGAACUUGAACACCCUAUCGUACACAUCAAUCCAGAGCAUUCCAAACAUGCCCAAUUGAAAUUUGCCACUGAGUAUGCAGGCCAUGGAAGUACUGGGACAUUUUCAGCUUACAGUAAUUCUGUAUAGAUCCUUGCGACAUGUGGUCGUGCAUUAUCCUGCUGAAACAUGAGGUGAUGGCGGCGGAUGUAUGGCACGACAAUGGGCCUGAGGAUCUAAUGCAUUCUCUGUGCAUUCAAAUUGCCAUCAAUAAAAUGCAAUUGUGUUAGUUGUCCGUAGCUUAUGCCUGCCUGCCCAUACCCCACCUCCAUCAUGGGGCACUCUGUUCACAUCGUUGACAUCAGCAAACUGCUCGCCCACACAACAUCAUACACGUGGUCUGCAGUUGUGUGUCCGGUUGGACGUACUGCCAAAUUCUCUAGAACGACGUUGGAGGCGGCUUAUGAUGGAGAAAUUAACAUUAAAUUCUCAGGCAACAGCUCUGGUGGACAUUCCUGCAGUCAGCAUUCCAAUUGCAAGCUCCCUCAAAACUUGAGACAUAUGUGGCAUUGUGUUGUCUGACAUGACUGCACAUUUUAGAAUGGCCUUUUAUUGUCCCUAGCACAAGGUGCACCUGUGUAAUUAUCAUGCUGUUUAAUCAGCUUAUCAUGUUUCAGGAAAAGAACCAGAUGCAGACAGUGUCGAAGUAACAAAAGUGUAUUACAAGAACAGGGGCAGGCAAAAUGACAAGUCAAGGACAGGCAGAGGUCAGUAAUCCAGAUCCAAAAGGUACAGAAUGGCAGGCAGUCUCAGGGUUGGGCAGGCAGAGGUCAAUAAUCUAGGCUGGUGUGACAAGGUACAGAAUGGCAGGCAGGCUCAAGGAAGAAAUAAUGGUCAAUACCAGAAAACAGGAACUAGAAAACAACAGGAGCAAAGGGAAAACCGCUGGUAGGCUUGGCGAACAAAAGGAACUGGCAACAGACAAACAGAGAACACAGGUAUAAAUACACUGGGGAUAAUUGGGAGGAAAGGUGACACCUAGAGGGGGGUGGAGAUAAGUACAAAAACAUGUGAAACAGAUCAGGGUGUGACACCGCUUCUUGGAGAGAAUAUGGAACAUUUCUGUGAUCUUUUAUUUAUUUCCCCAGGUAGAUGUUGUAAUUGAGAAUGUGUUCUCAGUCAAUUUAUCUGGUAAAUUAAGGGAUAAAUAAAUACAUAUUUCAGCUCAUGAAACAUGGGACCAACACUUUACAUGUUGCGUUUAUAUAUAUUUUUCAAUCUCAAUUUGUGAUGCAACAAAAUGUGAAAAACAGAGUCAGUCAGCAGAAUCACAGUCAACAAACAGAUUGCAGUUACUGAUCCUGACCACUGCAAAGAGACAGAAAGCCAAUGUUAUCUGGUCUAAUAACACAGUAUUAACAAUAUGAUCCAUUUGUCAGUCAAUAAUCAAUAUAUCAGUCCCCAUUCAGCACUUAUAUCAGAAAUCAUUUCAGUGAUUACAUAGCUAUCAUGUUUUGACAUCACAUCAGUCUGACUGUCCAAGAAGCCUAGUCACAUAUUGGACUAUUUCCAUAUAGAACAGUACAUGCUUCAGUGGUCUGGGAGUGUUUAUAGCCCUGUGACUUUAACACUUCAUGACUGAGAGCUGUCCUUCAUGACAACAGAACCCACAACAACCAUGACUUUUAGCACCAUCUUCAUCUGGAUACUUGCCCUCUGUCUCCAAGAGUCCAGAGGCCAGUACACUGUGACUCAAGACUCCUGCAGUGGAAACUAUUUCAGUGGGACACUCAGUCAGUCUCAGCUGUAAGACCAGCAGUGCUGUAUACAGUGAAGGCAAUGGACACUAUUUGCACUGGUAACAACAGAAACCUGGAGGAGCUCCUCAACUCCUGAUAUACUGGGCUAAAGCCCUUCAGUCUGGGACUCCAUCUAGAGUCAGUGGCAGUGGAUCUGGGAGUGACUUCAGUCUGGGGGACCUAGUAUGGCCUGUGUCCCUUUGUCUAGAUGUGCCCUCUCCAGGGUCUUGUGUGUUUGAGAAACCGUUACAAUUUCGUAUUACUACGAGGUCUGCCUGCCUUGACGGCGUUGAAAAUAAUUCACUCCUGUUGCCAUAUCUCCACCUUGAGGUUUGUAUAAAUUUCAUAUUUUAGUUAUAAACUCUAUAGUAUUUUCUAGUUUCCUCAGGGAUUUUUUUUCUCAAAGAGUAGACUCUAACCCGCCAUUGCUCUUUACCUUGAGAAUUUAUUUAGAUUUCCUAUUUAGUUAAACUCUAUAGUACUUUCUUAUUUCUCAGGGAUUUUUUUUCUCAUACAACGCCCAUAGUGACACUUACGCACUGUUAGCUUUACUUUCCCAAGGAAAUAAUACAAUUUCAAAGUAGUUAUACACUUUGAAUAGAGACUGGUGUUAAUCAUUUUAUAAUUAAUUUCCACCUGUUCCAACCAUUUCUAGUGAAUUUGAUCAGUCUUCACGGGAAAUUCUUAGGAUUCAGGGCUAUUUCCCUAAUCGUGUUAUUGGAGGGGCCGUCUGUUCCCUCUUGGUCAGCGGCCCCAGGGUAUUCCUGGUACGCACAUUGCGAGCCUAGUGCUGGGUAGACCUGCCGUUUGCCUGCGUAUCAUUUCCUGUUCUGUACCAUUAUUUUCUACACUACUUUGCUCCUCAUGAGCUGCCGUAGUAUCUAUGGUAGUUGCCAUUUAGGGUUCUUUUCUGGAAUUUUUUAUUAUCCCCGAAAGUUGUCUACCCUCAAAUCCUAGAAGGUAUUUUAUGGCUGUCUGGUCUACCGUUCUCAGUUUACCCCAUGGUAAACCCGGUACGACGAAACAUCCUGAUGGUUUGUAAGGCACUAGCUCGCCUAGUCCUUUGUAAUUCCUCCUCGUCCGCAUGGAGAGCCAAUGCUCUUCCUGCGUCUGGGUAGGUUGGUACUGCCGUAGCCAUAUCUCUAACUCUUUAAAGAUACCUACUUUAGUAAGUUGUUUGGAAAUAGAGCGCUGGUAGGGGCUGUUAACUCGGGUAGUAGUAGAGUCUUAAAUAGAGGUGUGGGGCCCCACGUUGGGCACCAAGUGUCGCGAUACGAAACCUUCAGCCCUGUCCCUUGGCCGGCCCUUUCUGAUAUUCUGCAUAGCACCAGGGACAUGUGAAAGACAAAGCCUGACCUCUCCCCUCUCUGGGGAGAUGUCCCUCAGCUGGUGACUGACCACCAGCUGAGGGAAAAGUUCAACUGCCAACACUUUAGUCCAAAGGGAUACAUUCUAAUGACAAUUAUCUCACAUAAGCAUAUUAUGCAAAAAAACAUCUUAAUGAUCUAUGUUACCCAACUAAUUCUGAUUCAUCCGCCACACCUCUGACACCGCCUGGUGUAGACGUCCUGGAUGGCAGGCAGCUUAGCCCAAGUGAUGUACUGAGCCGUACGCACUACCCUCUGUGGUGCCCUGCGGUCAGAGGCCGAGCAAUUGCCGUACCAGGCAGUGAUGCAACCAGUCAGGAUGCUCUCGAUGUUGCAGCUGUAGAACCUUUUGAGGAUCUCAGGACCCAUGCCAAAUAUUUUUAGUUUCCUGAGGGGGAAUAGGCUUUGUCGUGCCCUUUGUUGUUGAUGUGGACACCACGGAACUUGAAACUCUCAAUCUGCUCCACUACAGCCCUGUCGAUGAGAAUUGGGGGGG
This is a long non-coding RNA of Oncorhynchus nerka (sockeye salmon), 4539 nucleotides long. RefSeq lists it as uncharacterized. The record is from RefSeq and is a predicted model, not a curated record. The transcript has 3 exons. NCBI's taxonomy places the organism in Eukaryota, Metazoa, Chordata, Actinopteri, Salmoniformes, Salmonidae.